RNAcentral lists this ribosomal RNA (229 nucleotides) under uncultured bacterium. RNAcentral describes it as "partial 16S ribosomal RNA". It matches the Rfam family "Bacterial small subunit ribosomal RNA", at positions 568 to 796 of the family's 1533-position model. The record is from RNAcentral.
UACGUAGGCGGAAGAUUAAGUCAGUGGUGAAAUCCUGCAGCUUAACUGUAGAACUGUCAUUGAUACUGGUUUUCUUGAAUUUAGUUGAGGUAGGCGGAAUGUGUAAUGUAGCGGUGAAAUGCUUAGAUAUUACACAGAACACCGAUUGCGAAGGCAGCUUACUAAACUAUGAUUGACGCUGAGGUACGAAAGCGUAGGGAGCGAACAGGAUUAGAUACCCUGGUAGUCC